RNAcentral lists this ribosomal RNA (465 nucleotides) under Vreelandella stevensii. Its description in RNAcentral is "partial 16S ribosomal RNA". It matches the Rfam family "Bacterial small subunit ribosomal RNA", at positions 338 to 795 of the family's 1533-position model. The record is from RNAcentral. Lineage: Bacteria; Pseudomonadati; Pseudomonadota; Gammaproteobacteria; Oceanospirillales; Halomonadaceae.
CCUACGGGCGGCAGCAGUGGGGAAUAUUGGACAAUGGGCGAAAGCCUGAUCCAGCCAUGCCGCGUGUGUGAAGAAGGCCUUCGGGUUGUAAAGCACUUUCAGUGGGGAAGAAAGCCUUGGGGCGAAUACCCUCGAGGAAGGACAUCACCCACAGAAGAAGCACCGGCUAACUCCGUGCCAGCAGCCGCGGUAAUACGGAGGGUGCGAGCGUUAAUCGGAAUUACUGGGCGUAAAGCGCGCGUAGGCGGUCUGAUAAGCCGGUUGUGAAAGCCCCGGGCUCAACCUGGGAACGGCAUCCGGAACUGGCAGGCUAGAGUGCAGGAGAGGAAGCUAGAAUUCCCGGUGUAGCGGUGAAAUGCGUAGAGAUCGGGAGGAAUACCAGUGGCGAAGGCAGCCUUCUGGACUGACACUGACGCUGAGGGGCGAAAGCGUGGGUAGCAAACAGGAUUAGAUACCCCUGUAGUC